RNAcentral lists this long non-coding RNA (404 nucleotides) under Salvia miltiorrhiza (redroot sage). RNAcentral's name for it is "long non-coding RNA (SMIL_LNC006010)". The record is from RNAcentral. Lineage: Eukaryota; Viridiplantae; Streptophyta; Magnoliopsida; Lamiales; Lamiaceae.
UUGUGUUUUUAUUUAGUGUGUAUUACAUUCAAAAUUUGAAAUUAAAAUGAAAUAUAUUUGUCAUUUGGUAAAAAGUAGUAGCAUGAAACAAUCUUCUGCUUCUUCCACUUGUAUGCCGCUUCCAAAAAUUUAAGAUUUAUCGUCUGUGUUUCUUCUGGGAAUAGGUAGUCAAUAUACUCCUCAUACAUACACCAUACCAUAACAUCACAAUUUCUUGUUAAAAAUAAGAAUUUUGAGAAACAAAAAGGGCAGAAAAGAUACAUACCCAGCUGGAGCAUCCUCAGUUUCUAUGUGCCUUCUCUUUUUUAGUUUCUCAAAGUCGAUAUAUGCCUGUUUCAAAUAGGUAGAAGAUUAAAACAUAUAUAUCUAGUCAAUUCACUACAGAUUUAUUUAUAUCAAACACA